RNAcentral lists this long non-coding RNA (532 nucleotides) under Homo sapiens (human). RNAcentral describes it as "non-protein coding lnc-NPHS2-4:1". Lineage: Eukaryota; Metazoa; Chordata; Mammalia; Primates; Hominidae. The record is from RNAcentral.
CCAUGCUUCUGUGUGAAUAUCUCUUGCUUUGUUCAGAGAGGUUGUACAUUGUAUUACAGGGCUCCCUUCCUUAACAAGCAAAAAUUCAGCUUUUUUAUGGUUAUUGUAUUUGAAUACUUGUAUCUUUCUUAGACGAACUGAAAAUAUGAAUAUGUGGAUAAAUCUAAAUGAAUACUGGCUAUAUGAAAUACGAACAAAAGACAAACCACAAUGGAAAUUUAAAACUGUCUUGCCUUUCUGCCCCUGGACGCCGCCGAAGAAGCAUCAUUAAAGUCUCUCUUCUCCCGGCCGUCUUGUCUAACUCAGAGUCUCCUAAAGAGCCCAAACAGUUGAGGAAGCUCUUCCUUGGACGGUUGAGCUUAGAAACAAGCAACGAGAGCCUGAGAAGCCAUUUUGAGCAAUGAGGAAUGCUCAUGGACUGUGUGGUAAUGAGAUCCAAAUACCAAGCACUCCAGGGGCUUUGGGUUUGUCUCACAUGCCACUGCGGAGAAGGUGGAUGCAGCCAUGAAUGCAAGGCCACAAAAGGUGGAUG